GUCUAGUAUAAGCAAUUAUACAGCGAAACUGCGAAUGGCUCAUUAUAUAAGUUAUCGUUUAUUUGAUAGUACCUUACUACUUGGAUAACCGUGGUAAUUCUAGAGCUAAUACAUGCUAAAAAUCCCGACUUCGGAAGGGAUGUAUUUAUUAGAUUAAAAACCAAUGCCCUUCGGGGCUCCUUGGUGAUUCAUGAUAACUCCUCGAAUCGCAUGGCCUUGUGCCGGCGAUGGUUCAUUCAAAUUUCUUCCCUAUCAACUUUCGAUGUUUGGGUAUUGGCCAAACAUGGUUGCAACGGGUAACGGAGGGUUAGGGCUCGACCCCGGAGAAGGAGCCUGAGAAACGGCUACUACAUCCAAGGAAGGCAGCAGGCGCGCAAAUUACCCAAUCCCGACACGGGGAGGUAGUGACAAUAAAUACUGAUACAGGGCUCUUUCGGGUCUUGUAAUUGGAAUGAGUACAAUUUAAAUCCCUUAACGAGGAACAAUUGGAGGGCAAGUCUGGUGCCAGCAGCCGCGGUAAUUCCAGCUCCAAUAGCGUAUAUUAAAGUUGUUGUGGUUAAAAAGCUCGUAGUUGAACCUUGGGCCUGGCUGGCCGGUCCGCCUCACCGCGUGUACUGGUCCGGCCGGGCCUUUCCCUCUGUGGAACCUCAUGCCCUUCACUGGGUGUGGCGGGGAAACAGGACUUUUACUUUGAAAAAAUUAGAGUGCUCCAGGCAGGCCUAUGCUCGAAUACAUUAGCAUGGAAUAAUAGAAUAGGACGUGUGGUUCUAUUUUGUUGGUUUCUAGGACCGCCGUAAUGAUUAAUAGGGACAGUCGGGGGCAUCAGUAUUCAAUUGUCAGAGGUGAAAUUCUUGGAUUUAUUGAAGACUAACUACUGCGAAAGCAUUUGCCAAGGAUGUUUUCAUUAAUCAGGAACGAAAGUUAGGGGAUCGAAGACGAUCAGAUACCGUCGUAGUCUUAACCAUAAACUAUGCCGACUAGGGAUCGGACGAUGUUAUUUUUUGACUCGUUCGGCACCUUACAAGAAAUCAAAGUGCUUGGGCUCCCGGGGGAAUUAGGUCCCAAGGUUAAACUAAAAUUAAGUGAAGA
Molecule: ribosomal RNA, 1089 nt
Filed under: Calonectria candelabrum
Lineage: Eukaryota; Fungi; Ascomycota; Sordariomycetes; Hypocreales; Nectriaceae
Description: SSU rRNA
Rfam family: Eukaryotic small subunit ribosomal RNA
Source: RNAcentral